This 403-nucleotide ribosomal RNA is filed under the name bacterium. RNAcentral describes it as "partial 16S ribosomal RNA". It matches the Rfam family "Bacterial small subunit ribosomal RNA", at positions 355 to 776 of the family's 1533-position model. RNAcentral also lists the same sequence under 1 other name. The record is from RNAcentral.
UGGGGAAUAUUGCACAAUGGAGGGAACUCUGAUGCAGCGACGCCGCGUGAACGAAGAAGGCUUUCGAGUCGUAAAGUUCUUUUAUAUGGGAAGAUAAUGACGGUACCAUAAGAAAAAGCCCCGGCUAACUACGUGCCAGCAGCCGCGGUAAUACGUAGGGGGCUAGCGUUGUCCGGAAUCACUGGGCGUAAAGGGUUCGCAGGCGGAAAUGCAAGUCAGGUGUAAAAGGCAGUAGCUUAACUACUGUAAGCAUUUGAAACUGCAUAUCUUGAGUAGAGUAGAGGUAAGUGGAAUUUUUAGUGUAGCGGUGAAAUGCGUAGAUAUUAAAAAGAAUACCGGUGGCGAAGGCGACUUACUGGGCUCAUUCUGACGCUGAGGAACGAAAGCGUGGGUAGCAAACAGG